AUUGAACGCUGGCGGCAUGCCUUACACAUGCAAGUCGAACGGCAGCACGGGUGCUUGCCCCUGGUGGCGAGUGGCGAACGGGUGAGUAAUACAUCGGAACAUGUCCUGUAGUGGGGGAUAGCCCGGCGAAAGCCGGAUUAAUACCGCAUACGAUCUACGGAUGAAAGCGGGGGACCUUCGGGCCUCGCGCUAUAGGGUUGGCCGAUGGCUGAUUAGCUAGUUGGUGGGGUAAAGGCCUACCAAGGCGACGAUCAGUAGCUGGUCUGAGAGGACGACCAGCCACACGAGGACUGAGACACGGCCCAGACUCCUACGGGAGGGCACAGUGGGGAAUUUUGGACAAUAGGCGAAAGCCUGAUCCAGCAAAGCCGCGGGUGUGAAGAAAGCCCUGGGGGUUUAAAGCACUUUUUUGCGGAAAGAAAUCCUUUGCCCUAAUACGGUCGGGGGAUGACGGUACCGGAAGAAUAAGCACCGGCUAACUACGUG
RNAcentral lists this ribosomal RNA (486 nucleotides) under uncultured bacterium. Its description in RNAcentral is "partial 16S ribosomal RNA". It matches the Rfam family "Bacterial small subunit ribosomal RNA", at positions 30 to 507 of the family's 1533-position model. The record is from RNAcentral.